Myotis lucifugus (little brown bat) is the source of this 75-nucleotide non-coding RNA. Lineage: Eukaryota; Metazoa; Chordata; Mammalia; Chiroptera; Vespertilionidae. The record is from Rfam.
GGUGGUUCUCAGGUGAUGCACCCUGAAAUCAGGGUCCCUCCUCUCUGGUUCCAGGUGUGUCACCUAAGAACCACA